Bombus terrestris (buff-tailed bumblebee) is the source of this 800-nucleotide long non-coding RNA. RefSeq lists it as uncharacterized. The transcript has 2 exons. The record is from RefSeq and is a predicted model, not a curated record. NCBI's taxonomy places the organism in Eukaryota, Metazoa, Arthropoda, Insecta, Hymenoptera, Apidae.
UAUCAUAAAAAAAGUCUAUGAACUAAACGAUCUAUUGGGGCGUUGAAUGACGUCCGUUACGGUUACGAGCAAUAUUUAUUGUAAUUACAUUGUUUAGCCCGCUAAAAAGACUGUCAUUGUUUGAAAAGGGAGGCGAGUUCUCUCGUGGAAUCAACGAAGUACUCAACUUUAAAGUGAUAACUGAAGAACAACAUUAUUGUAUCGAUAAAAACCAUGCUUUUUUCGCAGAAAUAUGUAACUCAUAUUUUUUUUAAAGCAACACUCACAACGUAUUGAAUAAAAUUAUCAUACACUUUUUUUGUCUAACAUUUGUGAAAUACGAUAUUAUCAAGAUCACCAAGAAGGUAAUCUUCAAUUCUUAAUGAAUAUAACAAAAAACAUAAUUAAUGAUUAUUUGAUGGUUUUAUUAUUAUCUCUGUAUUACAAAAGCACAACAUGGUGUUAACAGUUUAUAUAGUUCGUAUGUUUCUGUAGGAAUAUACAAAUAAUAGUUCUCUAUCGCAACGUAAUCUAAAUGGAAAACCCUAAUUAAAUGACAAAAAUAUCAGUAAUAACUGGAACUAGUGAAUGUUAAAAGCGAUCAGUAUAUUCCAUACAAACUUCCAUCAACGCGAUUCGUCCCUCAUUCUCUCAACACACUAAGAUCACAAUCUUUAAACGCUUAUAAAACCAUCAGCAAUCGUAAAGUUUAGAAUUCGCUAUCUGGGCGCCUCUCAAUCCAGCUUUUGAUGUUAGGCAGAGCGAGGACCUUUUCCUUCAGCCGCGUCAGAUUGAUGUAAUUCACAAUCAGAUCAGACUCG